GGAGAGAUGGCCGAGUCUGGUCGAAGGCGCCGUCUUGGAAGGGCGGUAGCAGGUGUUCCGCCUGCUCGCAGGUUCGAAUCCUGCUCUCUCCG
RNAcentral lists this transfer RNA (92 nucleotides) under Gemmatimonadota bacterium. Its description in RNAcentral is "Gemmatimonadetes bacterium tRNA-Ser". It matches the Rfam family "tRNA". From Rfam's summary of the family: Transfer RNA (tRNA) molecules are approximately 80 nucleotides in length. Their secondary structure includes four short double-helical elements and three loops (D, anti-codon, and T loops). RNAcentral also lists the same sequence under 1 other name. The record is from RNAcentral. Lineage: Bacteria; Pseudomonadati; Gemmatimonadota.